Molecule: transfer RNA, 77 nt
Filed under: Alphaproteobacteria bacterium
Lineage: Bacteria; Pseudomonadati; Pseudomonadota; Alphaproteobacteria
Also listed under: 3 other names
Description: tRNA-His
Rfam family: tRNA
About the family: Transfer RNA (tRNA) molecules are approximately 80 nucleotides in length. Their secondary structure includes four short double-helical elements and three loops (D, anti-codon, and T loops).
Source: RNAcentral
GCGAUCGUAGUUCAAUUGGUUAGAGCACCGGUUUGUGGUACCGGAAGUUGCGGGUUCAAGUCCCGUCGGUCGCCCCA